GUGAGGAAUAUUGGUCAAUGGGCGGGAGCCUGAACCAGCCAAGUCGCGUGAAGGAAGUAGGAUCUAUGGUUCGUAAACUUCUUUUGCAGGGGAAUAAAGUGCAGGACGUGUCCUGUUUUGUAUGUACCCUGAGUAUAAGGAUCGGCUAACUCCGUGCCAGCAGCCGCGGUAAUACGGAGGAUCCGAGCGUUAUCCGGAUUUAUUGGGUUUAAAGGGUGCGUAGGUGGUUUGAUAAGUCAGCGGUGAAAGUUUGCAGCUUAACUGUAAGAAUGCCGUUGAAACUGUCGGACUUGAGUGUAAAUGAGGUAGGCGGAAUGCGUGGUGUAGCGGUGAAAUGCAUAGAUAUCACGCAGAACUCCGAUUGCGAAGGCAGCUUACUAAGCUACAACUGACACUGAAGCACGAAAGCGUGGGGAUCAAACAGGAUUAGAUACCCGGGUAGUCC
RNAcentral lists this ribosomal RNA (445 nucleotides) under uncultured bacterium. RNAcentral describes it as "partial 16S ribosomal RNA". It matches the Rfam family "Bacterial small subunit ribosomal RNA", at positions 354 to 796 of the family's 1533-position model. The record is from RNAcentral.